AUCCUCGUAACUGGUGCCCAACCACAGUCUUCAUUUCUCACUGAAUACAAGAAAAUAAAAGACCAAAGGUAAAGAUUUCUUGGCCUUAUAUCACUGAGAAUCCUAGAGAACAUCUCUGACUCAUGGCUACAUUUGCAUGGAUCCUAGCAAAAUAAGAUCAUUGCUCUCAUUAAGUAAAAAAAAAUUAAAUUGUUCCUGGGUAACGCUGAUCAAAAUCCACGUAUAGCUGUGAUAUCACCAUGACAUGAGCAGCUUUGCACCACCACACCCUUCCACCAUGAUGUUCCUGCCUUGGAGCCAGCUAACCAUGGACUAAACCCUCUGAAACUGACUACAAUGCAGUUUCUACAAAAACUGAGACCUUCUUUACUUCAUCACUGAGCCUAGAAUAUCUAGAACCCUACAGCCCUUAAAAGAUAUUAGUUGGAAGAAUGUAUAGUCCUAAGAUAUUAUCAUUUCUCCUGUGACCUAACAUGC
RNAcentral lists this long non-coding RNA (477 nucleotides) under Heterocephalus glaber (naked mole-rat). RNAcentral's name for it is "lncRNA (ENSHGLG00100036654.1)". Lineage: Eukaryota; Metazoa; Chordata; Mammalia; Rodentia; Bathyergidae. The record is from RNAcentral.